GUCGAGCGGAUGAAGAGAGCUUGCUCUCUGAUUCAGCGGCGGACGGGUGAGUAAUGCCUAGGAAUCUGCCUGAUAGUGGGGGACAACGUUUCSAAAGGAACGCUAAUACCGCAUACGUCCUACGGGAGAAAGCAGGGGACCUUCGGGCCUUGCGCUAUMAGAUGAGCCUAGGUCGGAUUAGCUAGUUGGUGAGGUAACGGCUCACCAAGGCGACGAUCCGUAACUGGUCUGAGAGGAUGAUCAGUCACACUGGAACUGARACWCGGUCCAGACUCCUACGGGAGGCAGCAGUGGGGAAUAUUGGACAAUGGGCGAAAGCCUGAUCCAGCCAUGCCGCGUGUGUGAAGAAGGUCUUCGGAUUGUAAAGCACUUUAAGUUGGGAGGAAGGGCAUUAACCUAAUACGUUAGUGUUUUGACGUUACCGACAGAAUAAGCACCGGCUAACUUCGUGCCAGCAGCCGCGGUAAUACGAAGGGUGCAAGCGUUAAUCGGAAUUACUGGGCGUAAAGCGCGCGUAGGUGGUUUGUUAAGUUGAAUGUGAAAGCCCCGGGCUCAACCUGGGAACUGYAUCCMAAACUGGCAAGCUAKAGUAUGGCAGAKGGUGGUGGAAUUUCCUGUGUAGCGGUGAAAUGCKUAGAUAUAGGAAGGAACACCAGUGGCKAA
This 663-nucleotide ribosomal RNA is filed under the name Stutzerimonas xanthomarina. Its description in RNAcentral is "bacterial SSU rRNA". It matches the Rfam family "Bacterial small subunit ribosomal RNA", at positions 61 to 719 of the family's 1533-position model. Lineage: Bacteria; Pseudomonadati; Pseudomonadota; Gammaproteobacteria; Pseudomonadales; Pseudomonadaceae. The record is from RNAcentral.